This 253-nucleotide ribosomal RNA is filed under the name uncultured bacterium. RNAcentral's name for it is "partial 16S ribosomal RNA". It matches the Rfam family "Bacterial small subunit ribosomal RNA", at positions 524 to 776 of the family's 1533-position model. The record is from RNAcentral.
UACAGGGGGUGCAAACGUUGCUCGGAAUCAUUGGGCGUAAAGCGCACGUAGGCGGUCUGUUAUGUCGGAUGUGAAAGCCUUUGGCUCAACUGAGGAAGUGCAUCCGAAACUGGCAGGCUAGAGUACUAAAGAGGAUCGCGGAAUUCCCGGUGUAGAGGUGAAAUUCGUAGAUAUCGGGAGGAACACCGGUGGCGAAGGCGGCGAUCUGGGUAGAUACUGACGCUGAGGUGCGAAAGCGUGGGGAGCAAACAGG